GGGCCCGUAGCUCAGCAGGAUAGAGCAGCGGUUUCCUAAACCGCAGGUCGGAGGUUCGAAUCCUCUCGGGCCCG
This 74-nucleotide transfer RNA is filed under the name Phycisphaerae bacterium. Its description in RNAcentral is "tRNA-Arg". It matches the Rfam family "tRNA". Rfam says of the family: Transfer RNA (tRNA) molecules are approximately 80 nucleotides in length. The record is from RNAcentral. Lineage: Bacteria; Pseudomonadati; Planctomycetota; Phycisphaerae.